GGUUGCGAUCAUACCAGCACUAAUGCACCGGAUCCUAUCAGAACUACGCAGUUAAGCGUGCUUGGGCGAGAGUAGUACUAGGAUGGGUGACCCCCUGGGAAGUCCUCGUGUUGCAACCC
RNAcentral lists this ribosomal RNA (119 nucleotides) under Helianthus annuus (common sunflower). Lineage: Eukaryota; Viridiplantae; Streptophyta; Magnoliopsida; Asterales; Asteraceae. The record is from RNAcentral.